GUUAGGAAUAUUGGACAAUGGGCGAAAGCCUGAUCCAGCCAUGCCGCGUGAACGAUGAAGGCCUUCGGGUUGUAAAGUUCUUUAGCCGAUGAUUAUAAUGACUGUAGUCGGAAAAUAAGCCCCGGCUAACUUCGUGCCAGCAGCCGCGGUAAUACGAAGGGGGCGAGCGUUAUUCGGAAUCACUGGGCGUAAAGCGUGCGUAGGCGGUUUUGUAAGUUAGGAGUGAAAGCCCAGGGCUCAACCUUGGAAUUGCUCUUAAAACUGCAAGGCUCGAAGCUCGGAGAGGAUAGCGGAAUUUCCAGUGUAGCAGUGAAAUGCGUAGAUAUUGGAAGGAACACCAGUGGCGUAAGCGGCUAUCUGGACGAGUAUUGACGCUGAGGCACGACAGCGUGGGGAUCAAACAGGAUUAGAUACCCCAGUAGUCC
This 425-nucleotide ribosomal RNA is filed under the name uncultured bacterium. RNAcentral describes it as "bacterial SSU rRNA". It matches the Rfam family "Bacterial small subunit ribosomal RNA", at positions 354 to 796 of the family's 1533-position model. The record is from RNAcentral.